ACUACGGGUGGCAGCAGUGGGGGAUAUUGCACAAUGGGGGGAACCCUGAUGCAGCGACGCCGCGUGGGUGAAGAAGCGCCUCGGCGCGUAAAGCCCUGUCAGCAGGGAAGAAAAUGACGGUACCUGAAGAAGAAGCCCCGGCUAACUACGUGCCAGCAGCCGCGGUAAUACGUAGGGGGCAAGCGUUAUCCGGAUUUACUGGGUGUAAAGGGGGCGCAGACGGCGAUGCAAGCCAGGAGGGAAAUCCCGGGGCCCCACCCCGGGACUGCUCUUGGAACUGCGUGGCUGGAGUGCAGGAGGGGCAGGCGGAAUUCCUGGUGUAGCGGUGAAAUGCGUAGAUAUCAGGAGGAACACCGGUGGCGAAGGCGGCCUGCUGGACUGCAACUGACGUUGAGGCCCGAAAGCGUGGGGAGCAAACAGGAUUAGAUACCCUGGUAGUC
This 440-nucleotide ribosomal RNA is filed under the name uncultured bacterium. RNAcentral describes it as "partial 16S ribosomal RNA". It matches the Rfam family "Bacterial small subunit ribosomal RNA", at positions 338 to 795 of the family's 1533-position model. The record is from RNAcentral.